Molecule: ribosomal RNA, 402 nt
Filed under: Bacteroidota bacterium
Lineage: Bacteria; Pseudomonadati; Bacteroidota
Also listed under: 2 other names
Description: Bacteroidetes bacterium partial 16S ribosomal RNA
Rfam family: Bacterial small subunit ribosomal RNA
Source: RNAcentral
UGGGGAAUUUUGCACAAUGGGGGAAACCCUGAUGCAGCGACGCCGCGUGAUUUAGAAGGCCUUCGGGUUGUAAAAAUCUUUUCUAUGGGAAGAAAAUGACAGUACCAUAGGAAUAAGGACCGGCUAACUACGUGCCAGCAGCCGCGGUAAUACGUAGGGGGCUAGCGUUGUCCGGAAUCACUGGGCGUAAAGGGUUCGCAGGCGGAAAUGCAAGUCAGGUGUAAAAGGCAGUAGCUUAACUACUGUAAGCAUUUGAAACUGCAUAUCUUGAGAAGAGUAGAGGUAAGUGGAAUUUUUAGUGUAGCGGUGAAAUGCGUAGAUAUUAAAAAGAAUACCGGUGGCGAAGGCGACUUACUGGGCUCAUUCUGACGCUGAGGAACGAAAGCGUGGGUAGCAAACAGG